This 673-nucleotide long non-coding RNA is filed under the name Suricata suricatta (meerkat). Its description in RNAcentral is "lncRNA (ENSSSUG00005014651.1)". Lineage: Eukaryota; Metazoa; Chordata; Mammalia; Carnivora; Herpestidae. The record is from RNAcentral.
AAGAGAAGGAAAGAAUAUGAAUUAUCUAGAAAUUAACUUGGCCAACCAUGUCAGAGAAUUCUCACUAAAGGAGGUGUUUAUUUCUUGGAUAAAUGGGAGAUGUGUUUGUGAAAGGAGAUUAGCAGAGCAGUGGACAGAGCACUGGCUUUGGAGUGAGGCUGCCCAGGCUCCACACACAUGAGGCGUCAGAUAGCGAUAAGGGCUAAAGAGAAAAAUAAAGCAGGAAGAGCAACAGCCUCUGACUUCCAUUUUUGACAUCCUGAUGCUGACCUUGAAGAUGGAAGACGCCAUGAACAAGGACCAGAGAGCCGUUUCUAGGAGCUAAGAACAACUCCCGGCCAAAGGCCAGCAAGGAAACAGGGAUCUCGGUCCCACAGCCAUAGGAAACUGUGUACUGCUAACAACCUGAGUGAGCUUGGAAGGGAUUCUUCUCCAGAGCCUCCAGAGAAGAGCUCCAUCUGGCUGAUACCCUGUGAGGCCCCAAGCAAAGAACCCCAUCAAACUUGCCUACACUUCUCACCUACAGGUCUAUAACUAACACAUGGAUGUUGUUACGCCUCUGAGUUUGCUAUGCUGCAAUAGAAAACGAAUACACGUUAUCUUACUUAAUCCUCACGACCUUCCAAAAUGGAGGGUGUCCCCAUUAUAUGGAUGACGGAACAGGUCAAUGAGG